GAUGAACGCUGGCGGUAUGCCUAACACAUGCAAGUCGAACGGAAGCACGGUAAGAUCUUUCUCUUACGGUUGGCGACGGGCGGGUGAGUAAGAAAUACAUCGCCUUCUACUUAUUCGUGGGUGAUAACGUAGAAAAACAUACGCUAAUACCGCAUACGUCGUACCGCUUAAAUCAAUGGAUCUUCUCACCUUUGGCGAUUGAAUUAGCCGCUGUCGGAUUAGCUAGUUUGUGAGGUAAAGGCCCAGCAAGGCGACGAUACGUAGCUGGUCUGAGAGGAUGAUCAGCCACACUGGAACUGAGACACGGUCCAGACUCCUACGGGAGGCAGCAGUAGGGAAUCUUGGGCAAUGGGCGCAAGCCUGAGGCAGCCAUACCGCGUGUGUGAUGAAGGCCUUCGGUUUGUAAAACCCUGUUGUUGGGAAAGAAAAGCAGUAUGAGUAUACACGGAUGUUCUGACGGUACCCAAAGAAGAAGCAACGGCUAACUACGUG
This 492-nucleotide ribosomal RNA is filed under the name uncultured bacterium. RNAcentral describes it as "partial 16S ribosomal RNA". It matches the Rfam family "Bacterial small subunit ribosomal RNA", at positions 28 to 507 of the family's 1533-position model. The record is from RNAcentral.